GAUGAACGCUGGCGGCGUGCCUAAUACAUGCAAGUCGAGCGAACAGACGAGGAGCUUGCUCCUCUGACGUUAGCGGCGGACGGGUGAGUAACACGUGGAUAACCUACCUAUAAGACUGGGAUAACUUCGGGAAACCGGAGCUAAUACCGGAUAAUAUAUUGAACCGCAUGGUUCAAUAGUGAAAGACGGUUUUGCUGUCACUUAUAGAUGGAUCCCCGCCGCAUUAGUUAGUUGGUAAGGUAACGGCUUACCAAGGCAACGAUGCGUAGCCGACCUGAGAGGGUGAUCGGCCACACUGGAACUGAGACACGGUCCAGACUCCUACGGGAGGCAGCAGUAGGGAAUCUUCCGCAAUGGGCGAAAGCCUGACGGAGCAACGCCGCGUGAGUGAUGAAGGUCUUCGGAUCGUAAAACUCUGUUAUUAGGGAAGAACAAAUGUGUAAGUAACUAUGCACGUCUUGACGGUACCUAAUCAGAAAGCCACGGCUAACUACGUG
This 497-nucleotide ribosomal RNA is filed under the name uncultured bacterium. RNAcentral's name for it is "partial 16S ribosomal RNA". It matches the Rfam family "Bacterial small subunit ribosomal RNA", at positions 28 to 507 of the family's 1533-position model. The record is from RNAcentral.